This 1037-nucleotide long non-coding RNA is filed under the name Mus musculus (house mouse). RNAcentral's name for it is "long non-coding RNA chr13:114153222-114154259". The record is from RNAcentral. Lineage: Eukaryota; Metazoa; Chordata; Mammalia; Rodentia; Muridae.
UUGGGUUAGGUUGUGGGGUGUUUUGUUUUGUUUUGUUUUGGUUGGCUUUUCCUUUUGAGCCAGGGUCUCACUGUGUCUUCCUGGCUGGCCUGAAACUCACUGUGUAGAACAGUCUGGCCUCAGUGCAGAUGUGUCUGCUUCAGACUUCCAAGUGCCAAGAUUAAAGGUGUGUACCACAUCACCACCCAACUUGAUUCUGUGCAACUUUUAAAUGGACCCCUCAGCUUUAUUUUCAUUUCUAAAUUAGUAUACAACAUUUGGUCGUUUUUAGUCAAACAUGGCGGCACACACCUAUAAUUCCAGUACUUUUGGGUCAGAGGCAGGAGGAUUGGCUACAAGUUUAAGGAGUUCCAGACCAGUCAGGGAUAGUGAGACCCUGUUUCAAAAAGCAAAAACAAACAAAAGACACAUACCAUGGACAAAGAUCUUUAUAGUCUUGGAUCUAUCUCCUUGCUCUUGAGAGCCGGUCUGGACAGGUGUUUCUGCUGGUAACAGUUGGCUGGUCUUUAUGAUGGCGGCACAAAACAUUUGGGAGUGGUAAGAGGUUUUCUAGAAACCUUGCUUGGUGAUAAGGACAAAGUUUUGCUUCAGCCUACUGUGUGUGAAUGAGUGAGUUGCUGAAAGAACUCCUUACCUUACUCUAGCCCUUCAGAGCAGAGCACAAGUGUUUUUAUGAACCCUGGUAGUGUAAUCCUGAUUCACUCAGGAUUUGGAUCUUCUACUCCCAGCAAGUCCAGGACCAAAAGAGGUGGGAGCAGACCUGAGAAACGCUGUGCAAAUGUGCAACCCCAUGACUUUAUGUAAGUGGGUCUGUGUAUGCUUGAGCAUCUGUACCUGUAGCUCUCAUGCUUUCUUCCAGAAGAUCCCUUCCUCACCCUCAGAAAUGUCCACUAGAAAUGCAAGAGAAAAUAAGGUCCCUGACAGUGAGAUUUUAUUGGUUUUGUUUUGAUUUUGGGUUUUAGUUUUUUGGGGUUUGUUGCUGUUGUUUGUUUGUUUGUUUAUGUGCUUCCUGCUCCAGACAACUGUUUAUAGGAUCC